This 393-nucleotide ribosomal RNA is filed under the name Triticum aestivum (bread wheat). RNAcentral's name for it is "partial small subunit ribosomal RNA". Lineage: Eukaryota; Viridiplantae; Streptophyta; Magnoliopsida; Poales; Poaceae. The record is from RNAcentral.
AUGGGAAAGUGGAUUUGGUGUUUGAUGCCCAAGAGCAGACUUAAUGUUCAUAGGGAGAAGUGCAUGCAUGAAAUAGAGUACGGCUAUGUGGGCAAUCUGUUAAGGGAUAACCGUCGAUCAUCACGUUGCGGCAACACGGCGAUGAUAAGGUUGCUCCGGUCAGAUGACAACAGGGUGGUGUACGAGGUGAUAGUAAGAGACGAAGGACUGGAAUUUGAGUGUGAGUGCGGACAAUUUGAGCACACAGGGAUGUUAUGCUGCCAUGUACUAAGGGUGAUGGAUGUUCUCCACUUGGAGGAGGAUCCCGCAAAGCACAUCGUGAAGGAUGGACCAAAGACGCAAGGAUCAUACUGCCCGCGCACCUCGUUCAUUACCAGAAAAAACAGUCGGUAA